UACGGAGUUACAAAGGAACGAGGUAGACGAAGCGACCUGGAAAGGUCCGUCGUAGAGGGUAACAACCCCGUAGUCGAAACUUCGUUCUCUCUUGAAUGUAUCCUGAGUACGGCGGAACACGUGAAAUUCCGUCGGAAUCUGGGAGGACCAUCUCCCAAGGCUAAAUACUCCCUAGUGAUCGAUAGUGAACCAGUACCGUGAGGGAAAGGUGAAAAGCACCCCGGAAGGGGAGUGAAAGAGAUCCUGAAACCGUGUGCCUACAAAUAGUCAGAGCCCGUUAACGGGUGAUGGCGUGCCUUUUGUAGAAUGAACCGGCGAGUUACGAUCCCGUGCGAGGUUAAGCUGAAGAGGCGGAGCCGCAGCGAAAGCGAGUCUGAAUAGGGCGUUUAGUACGUGGUCGUAGACCCGAAACCAGGUGAUCUACCCAUGUCCAGGGUGAAGUUCAGGUAACACUGAAUGGAGGCCCGAACCCACGCACGUUGAAAAGUGCGGGGAUGAGGUGUGGGUAGCGGAGAAAUUCCAAUCGAACCUGGAGAUAGCUGGUUCUCCCCGAAAUAGCUUUAGGGCUAGCCUUAAGUGUAAGAGUCUUGGAGGUAGAGCACUGAUUGGACUAGGGGUCCUCAUCGGAUUACCGAAUUCAGUCAAACUCCGAAUGCCAAUGACUUAUCCUUAGGAGUCAGACUGCGAGUGAUAAGAUCCGUAGUCAAAAGGGAAACAGCCCAGACCGCCAGCUAAGGUCCCAAAGUGUGUAUUAAGUGGAAAAGGAUGUGGAGUUGCUUAGACAACUAGGAUGUUGGCUUAGAAGCAGCCACCAUUUAAAGAGUGCGUAAUAGCUCACUAGUCGAGUGACUCUGCGCCGAAAAUGUACCGGGGCUAAAUACACCACCGAAGCUGCGGAUUGAUACCAAUGGUAUCAGUGGUAGGGGAGCGUUCUAAGGACAGUGAAGUCAGACCGGAAGGACUGGUGGAGUGCUUAGAAGUGAGAAUGCCGGUAUGAGUAGCGAAAGACGGGUGAGAAUCCCGUCCACCGAAUGCCUAAGGUUUCCUGAGGAAGGCUCGUCCGCUCAGGGUUAGUCAGGACCUAAGCCGAGGCCGACAGGCGUAGGCGAUGGACAACAGGUUGAUAUUCCUGUACCACCUCUUUAUCGUUUGAGCAAUGGAGGGACGCAGAAGGAUAGAAGAAGCGUGCGAUUGGUUGUGCACGUCCAAGCAGUUAGGCUGAUAA
RNAcentral lists this ribosomal RNA (1225 nucleotides) under Bacillus anthracis (anthrax bacterium). RNAcentral's name for it is "partial 23S ribosomal RNA". It matches the Rfam family "Bacterial large subunit ribosomal RNA", at positions 308 to 1531 of the family's 2925-position model. The record is from RNAcentral. Lineage: Bacteria; Bacillati; Bacillota; Bacilli; Caryophanales; Bacillaceae.